GGAUGAAGAACGUAGCGAAAUGCGAUAAGUAAUGUGAAUUGCAGAAUUCAGUGAAUCAUCGAAUCUUUGAACGCACAUUGCGCCCGCCAGUAUUCUGGCGGGCAUGCCUGUUCGAGCGUCAUUUCAACCCUCAAGCCCUGCUUGGUGUUGGGGAUCGGCGUUGCCUCCUCCGUCGUUCGCGGCGGGGUGAGGUCGCCGCCCCCGAAAUGAAUUGGCGGUCUCGUCGCAGCUUUCCUUUGCGUAGUAACAUACCACCUCGCAACCAGGAGCGCGGCGCGGCCACUGCCGUAAAACGCCCAACUUUUUCAAGAGUUGACCUCGAAUCAGGUAGGAAUACCCGCUGAACUUAAGCAUAUCAAUAAGCGGAGGA
Molecule: unclassified non-coding RNA, 370 nt
Filed under: soil metagenome
Description: partial contains 5.8S ribosomal RNA, internal transcribed spacer 2, and large subunit ribosomal RNA
Rfam family: 5.8S ribosomal RNA (bases 2-121)
Source: RNAcentral